Patella vulgata (common limpet) is the source of this 986-nucleotide long non-coding RNA. RefSeq lists it as uncharacterized. The transcript has 5 exons. The record is from RefSeq and is a predicted model, not a curated record. NCBI's taxonomy places the organism in Eukaryota, Metazoa, Mollusca, Gastropoda, Patellidae.
AAGACACUGAUUCUCAAUUAGGAUAUCAUCCAGCCCAAAAGAGUUCGCCAUUUUUGAUUUGUAUAUAUAUUUGAUAACGAGGUCAAAAAUGAAAUCUUUUCCAGGAAUUAUACCUAAACCCCGACCAUAUCUAUUGGACUACGAUAAUGUGCUUGUAACGACCUCCGGUACCAGUUUCUUUAACCAAUGUUUCCCCAGUAGCUCAAUUGAUCUUGCAUUGGCUUUUUUUGCUACACAUUACUUAUCAAAACCACUUCCUUUGUCCGACCAUGUUUAUCGAUUCUUUCCUGGAAAUCAGGACGAAAGGGAGGCCAUUACAAAACAAGCAGCCGAUGAUUGGUUGGUGUUCCUCAAACACAGAGCAAAAGAACUAAAACAAGGUGGUUGGGGAGUUUUCUCAACACUAGGAGAGACGGAAGCUACACCAGAUAAACCAGCCAUGAUGGGUCUUCACGAUGUAUUUGCUAGUAUGGAUGACAUCUGGAAAGCUUUCGUUUCAAAGGGCCUGAUAACUAAGGAAGAAUACAGACGAUGUUCUUUUGCUGCAUGUUUUAGAAACGCACGUGAGUUACAGGAACCGUUUAACUCUGAAGAAUUAAGGAAGGCUGGUUUGAGAUUUGAUGACGUUAAAUUUACUUUUGUCCCUGACUUCUUUAUCACGGAAUGGAGAGAACAUUUAGAAAAAGGAAUCGAUGACAGAGCAAUGUUUGCUAGAUAUAUUACGAAAAUCACAAGAGUCUUCUCUUACAAUACAUUUGAUGGUUCAUUAAACGAGGACAGAAGUUCCAAAGAGAAAUCUCAGAUUUGUGAUCUAGUGUACAAAGAGAUGGAGAACUAUUUUCUAUCGAAGCAUCCUGAGGAUUUCAAAACUGAUUUUUUUAUGAAUACAGUGUAUGUUUAUAAAGAAUAGAUGGUAGAAUUUGUAUAUACAUUUGUUAUAAUAUGAUAUUGUAAAAUCUAGAAUAAUAAAAGUCAUUUACACUAAA